RNAcentral lists this ribosomal RNA (254 nucleotides) under uncultured bacterium. Its description in RNAcentral is "partial 16S ribosomal RNA". It matches the Rfam family "Bacterial small subunit ribosomal RNA", at positions 524 to 776 of the family's 1533-position model. The record is from RNAcentral.
UACGGAGGGUGCGAGCGUUGUCCGGAAUCAUUGGGCGUAAAGGGCGCGUAGGUGGCCCGGUCAGUUCGUGGUGAAAGCGCGGGGCUCAACCCUGCGUCGGCCAUGAAUACUGCCGCGGCUGGAGCACUGUAGAGGCAGGCGGAAUUCCGGGUGUAGCGGUGGAAUGCGUAGAGAUCCGGAAGAACACCGGUGGCGAAGGCGGCCUGCUGGGCAGUUGCUGACACUGAGGCGCGAAAGCGUGGGGAGCAAACGGG